UUGGAAGUAUCCUCAAAUGUUUGGGAUUUUCAUGGAUUACAGCCCAGCCCUCCAUUCAGAAAAGGAUCUGCACCACCGUGUUCAGAUUGACUCUUCUCAGAAGAAACACUUUGGCUCUGAGUGAUCUUCAAGGAGUGAUCAUCUUGUCAAGUUGAUGUCGAACAGAUAAGGGUGAAGAAAACUACAUGAAGAAACUUGCAACUUCUCAGUACAGGCAAAGGAGCGAGCGUAACACCGCAUAUUACCGGAGCAAAUACAAUAAACCCGAGGCCUCACAUCGAGCUGCUCAUCCUCCUCGUCUUCCUCCACCUCCCACCUCGCUUUCUUUUCACCCCCGGGGCU
Molecule: long non-coding RNA, 342 nt
Organism: Paralichthys olivaceus (Japanese flounder)
Lineage: Eukaryota; Metazoa; Chordata; Actinopteri; Pleuronectiformes; Paralichthyidae
Source: RefSeq, a predicted model, not a curated record